UACGAAGGCCCCGAGCGUUAACCGGAAUUACUGGGCGUAAAGCGCGCGUAGGUGGUUUGUUAAGUUGGAUGUGAAAGCCCCGGGCUCAACCUGGGAACUGCAUCCAAAACUGGCAAGCUAGAGUACGGUAGAGGGUGGUGGAAUUUCCUGUGUAGCGGUGAAAUGUGUAGAUAUAGGAAGGAACACCAGUGGCGAAGGCGACCACCUGGACUGAUACUGACACUGAGGUGCGAAAGCGUGGGGAGCAAACAGG
This 253-nucleotide unclassified non-coding RNA is filed under the name uncultured Pseudomonadaceae bacterium. RNAcentral's name for it is "contains 16S-23S intergenic spacer region". It matches the Rfam family "Bacterial small subunit ribosomal RNA", at positions 524 to 776 of the family's 1533-position model. Lineage: Bacteria; Pseudomonadati; Pseudomonadota; Gammaproteobacteria; Pseudomonadales; Pseudomonadaceae. The record is from RNAcentral.